Molecule: long non-coding RNA, 447 nt
Organism: Spinacia oleracea (spinach)
Lineage: Eukaryota; Viridiplantae; Streptophyta; Magnoliopsida; Caryophyllales; Amaranthaceae
Exons: 3
Source: RefSeq, a predicted model, not a curated record
GUCGACGACAACCAUCAACCCAGCCGCUGCCGCGCCGCCGUCCCCGGACCGCCGGCCGCCCACUCUUCCUCUUCUUUUGGCGGAGAAUUCUCUUUAGGCGACUUUUGAAAGUGUUAAGGUGGCCUAUCAGUUUGUUUACACAAGUCUCUAAGGAUCAAUAAGCGUUGCCCAUCUACAGGUUUGAAGAUGAUGCAUCAUUGGGAUCGGGAUUAGAGAGCUUGUAGUUCUAUUCGUUUAAUUAAGUGAUUUAAUUUGUUAACUUGGUUUUGAAAUUUGUCGUACUAUUCGUAUUUCCUUAAUUCAGUUAAUUGGUUUGGACCUAAUAUGUAAUAGAUUAUUUAUGAACCUAAAAGUUAGUUUCAUGUUUUCCGCUGCAAAAUUCUGAAUAAGCCGUAACGUUUUCACACGGGCGAUAAUACUUUGAUAAUUCCCUACAGUUAUAUUUAA